RNAcentral lists this ribosomal RNA (460 nucleotides) under uncultured bacterium. Its description in RNAcentral is "partial 16S ribosomal RNA". It matches the Rfam family "Bacterial small subunit ribosomal RNA", at positions 338 to 795 of the family's 1533-position model. The record is from RNAcentral.
CCUACGGGAGGCAGCAGUGAGGAAUAUUGGUCAAUGGACGAGAGUCUGAACCAGCCAAGUAGCGUGAAGGAUGACUGCCCUAUGGGUUGUAAACUUCUUUUAUAUGGGAAUAAAAUGUUCCACGUGUGGGAUUUUGUAUGUACCAUAUGAAUAAGGAUCGGCUAACUCCGUGCCAGCAGCCGCGGUAAUACGGAGGAUCCGAGCGUUAUCCGGAUUUAUUGGGUUUAAGGGGAGCGUAGGUGGAUUUUUAAGUCAGUUGUGAAAGUUUGCGGCUCAACCGUAAAAUUGCAGUUGAAACUGGCAGUCUUGAGUACAGUAGAGGUGGGCGGAAUUCGUGGUGUAGCGGUGAAAUGCUUAGAUAUCACGAAGAACUCCGAUUGCGAAGGCAGUUCACUGGACUGCAACUGACGCUGAAGCUCGAAAGUGUGGGUAUCAAACAGGAUUAGAUACCCGAGUAGUC